This 455-nucleotide ribosomal RNA is filed under the name uncultured bacterium. RNAcentral describes it as "bacterial SSU rRNA". It matches the Rfam family "Bacterial small subunit ribosomal RNA", at positions 865 to 1317 of the family's 1533-position model. The record is from RNAcentral.
UNCCCCGCCUGGGGAGUACGACCGCNAAGGUUGAAACUCAAAGGAAUUGACGGGGGCCCGCACAAGCGGUGGAGUAUGUGGUUUAAUUCGACGCAACGCGAANNNCCUUACCAGGUCUUGACAUUGAUGGACAGAACCAGAGAUGGUUCCUCUUNUUCGGAAGCCAGAAAACAGGUGGUGCACGGUUGUCGUCAGCUCGUGUCGUGAGAUGUUGGGUUAAGUCCCGCAACGAGNGCNACCCCUAUCUUAUGUUGCCAGCACGUAAUGGUGGGAACUCAUGAGAGACUGCCGCAGACAAUGCGGAGGAAGGCGGGGAUGACGUCAAAUCAUCAUGCCCCUUAUGACCUGGGCUACACACGUACUACAAUGGGAGUUAAUAGACGGAAGCGAGAUCGCGAGAUGGAGCAAACCCGAGAAACACUCUCUCAGUUCGGAUCGUAGGCUGCAACUCGCNU